GCCUCCUUCCAGACCUGCAGGUCCCGGUUCGCCUCCCGCCCCCGGAGCAUCUCCGUUUCGUGCACGGAGACUGUUGACAUCCCCGUUAGGAUUAAAACAAGACACCUGGAGUUUGGAGCCGGAAGGCCCUGGGAGCCCGCGUGGUCCAUCUCACAGAGAGGCCCCUGUCGCCCCCGGGCCCUGUCCGGAGGACAAGCAGGCCAGGGCCCGAAGCGCAGGACAGGGCCCUCGCCUGCCUCCACCCAGCUGGGUGGCUCCCAGGGUGGGAUUCGGGGCGCUCGCCUCACCGGCCGCACCCCCGAGCCUGGAGCCUGUGCGCCCAUUUGUCGCCCCCCGUUCGGACGUGAACCGGAGUCCCGACCGGGUGUCCGGGCCGAGCGGCGCCCCUGCGUGUCACAGCGGCCCUCCUCGGUUGGCACCCCCGUUGCUGGAAACACUCGCCGAGGAAGCCCCCCGGUGCCUCUCCGGGGAAGCAAGCGGCCUGCACCCCCUAUCUGGGCCCCCCUUCACCCACUUCCAGGGGGUUCUCUGAGUGCUUGACGGUUCGCUCCAGGGUCUUCGGGGCUGAGAGCUGGGCAGGUUCGGGGUCAGGAAGAGCAGAAUUGGGGCUCGGCUGGUGGGGACAGUGUGCCCCCGGGCCGGGCCUUCCUCGUCUCGGUGGGGCUGUUACUCCUCGGUGCCCAGGAGUUGAGGGAGGGUUGCUGGCGGGCACCAGGUGCUGCACCUGGCGGGGAGAGGGGGUGAGGGGCCCCCAUUACUCUAGGGCGACAGCACACACCAGCUCUACGGGUUACUGGGUGCUGACGGGGGACAGAGGCCAGGCCGUCGGCUGGCGAAGAGGAGGCCGGGCCUCCACGGAGGCCGGGUGUCUGCAGCCAGGAUCGGAGUCGGGGGGGGGGGGGGGCUGGGGGCUGUGGGCUUUGCACCUUGCACCUCGGGACAGCCCAUGGACGGCAGCUGGCUGAGCACCAGGUGCACCAGGCUUGCCACAUCGAGCGCUCUUCUCCGCGUCCCGGGGCUUAUUCUUCUGGGGGCACCAACCGAGUGUGAUCCUGCCCGGCAGGGUGCCUGUGUGACCUGAGAAGACGCGCGUCGGCGUGGAGCGCAGUGUCCCGUCCGCGUUUGGUUGAAACGGUGGCUGCUGUCUUUAUUACGGGCCUCUCUGCCUCCGGAGGGGUAUAAAGGCCCUGGGAGUUGGGGGCCCAGGAAGAUGGCAGCGCGGUCCUUUCCAUGCUCAGGUGGAUGGAAUGGUUUCCUUGGAGCAGCAUUUCCAAAGGGGGGCUCCUCAAGGCCUUGAGAUAGUCUAGAGGAAAAAACAAAAAACUGUGCUCCUUUGAAUUUCAAAUGGCACGUAGGAUGUUAAAGGCUCUGAGAAGUCCUGCAGUAAAGGAAACUUUCUUGUUUAACCUUGAGUGGGGCAUCUCCCAAACCCUGAGGUUUCGUUUUUUUUUCCUUCCUCCUUUCUUUCUUCCUCCCUCUAUCCCUACCUUUCCUCCUUCUCUUUCUUUUCCUCCCUCCUUCUCUCCUUUAUUUUCUCCUUCCUCCCUUCUUUCUUUUUUCCCCUUUUUUCCCUUCCCUGCAUCUCUCUCUCUCUCCUUCCCUCCCCUUUUGGUUUUUCCAGGACACCCCAACAAUCUGGGGGGCUUGGACUCCUCUGAAUGCCUGAAUAAGCCAACAUAGGGACUCAGAAAUGCCUACCGUUUUCCAUCGUAUUUAAAUGACAGAGAAACUGCCUAGACACUAAGAGCAAUGCCUCUCAAACUCUCUUGUCCCCCCAGAGACACUGUCACGGUAGAGAUGCAGGCCAACAGGUCCGGGGUGGAGUUUGAGAUGAUUCCAACCAGGUGUCUGGCGAUGCUUGUUAGAAAAGCAGACUCCCUUAAAGCCUCACCCUAAAUCUCCAGAGUCAAAAUACGUACCUGAAUGAGAUCUCCAGAUAUUGUGAGGUGAGCGCCGCGGUGAGCCUGGUAAACAUCCAUCACCACCCAGAGGUGCAAGUGUUUGCUCCUGAUGAGAACUUCUUGGCGACUUUCAAACACGCAGCACGCAAAUGACCAAGGUUGUAAACGGAGACCGCAGGUGACCGUGAAGCCAAGACCCCCGGUGCCCUUGGAGGACACAGCCCGAUGGAGCAAUUGUCCAGCAGCGCUAGUGGCUGCUCUUUGCUGAGGGGGGCAUCGCCUCUGAUUUUAACUCACUUUCGCCUGAGGAGACUCUGCAGCGGGGGGACGGGGGUCCUGACCAAGUUCCCACUGUUUUCCCACUGUUGGUUAAUGGUUAAUCCUGCCUUUAAAAUCAGAUCUGGGGGAUCCCUGGGUGGCUUAGCCAUUUGGCAUCUGCCUUCAGCCCGGGGUGUGGUCCUGGGGUCCCGGGAUCAAGUCCCAUGUCGGGCUCCCUGCAGGGGGCCUGCUUCUC
Long non-coding RNA from Canis lupus familiaris (dog), 2415 nucleotides. RefSeq lists it as uncharacterized. The record is from RefSeq and is a predicted model, not a curated record. Lineage: Eukaryota; Metazoa; Chordata; Mammalia; Carnivora; Canidae. The transcript has 5 exons.